This 551-nucleotide ribosomal RNA is filed under the name uncultured Bacteroidota bacterium. Its description in RNAcentral is "bacterial SSU rRNA". It matches the Rfam family "Bacterial small subunit ribosomal RNA", at positions 38 to 586 of the family's 1533-position model. Lineage: Bacteria; Pseudomonadati; Bacteroidota. The record is from RNAcentral.
AGCGGCAGGCCUAAUACAUGCAAGUCGGACGGGAUAGGAGAGCUUGCUUUCCUUGAGAGUGGCGCACGGGUGCGUAACACGUAUGUAACCUACCCAUAUCAGGGGGAUAGCCUCUCGAAAGAGAGAUUAAGCCCGCAUAACAUCAUUUAAUAGCAUUAUUGAAUGAUCAAAUAUUUAUAGGAUAUGGAUGGGCAUGCGGAACAUUAGCUAGUUGGUAAGGUAACGGCUUACCAAGGCUACGAUGUUUAGGGGAUCUGAGAGGAUGACCCCCCACACUGGUACUGAGACACGGACCAGACUCCUACGGGAGGCAGCAGUAAGGAAUAUUGGUCAAUGGGCGGAAGCCUGAACCAGCCAUGCCGCGUGCAGGAAGACGGCCCUACGGGUUGUAAACUGCUUUUGUACCGGAAUAAACCCUUUUACGUGUAAGAGGUUGAAUGUACGGUAAGAAUAAGGAUCGGCUAACUCCGUGCCAGCAGCCGCGGUAAUACGGAGGAUCCAAGCGUUAUCCGGAUUUAUUGGGUUUAAAGGGUGCGUAGGCGGCCUAUUAA